This is a long non-coding RNA of Columba livia (rock pigeon), 742 nucleotides long. RefSeq lists it as uncharacterized. NCBI's taxonomy places the organism in Eukaryota, Metazoa, Chordata, Aves, Columbiformes, Columbidae. The record is from RefSeq and is a predicted model, not a curated record. The transcript has 3 exons.
GGGACGGCGGGGGGAGCGCGAGGGGCACGGAGCGGCGAAAGAGGCGGCAGUGGAUCCGUCCGGCAGUCGGUGGCCCACGGUUGCUCGGCAACAGCAGAAGCGGAUUGAAGGGACCGGCCGCUGGAGGAUGCCGAAGCCUCCCGGGUCAGCGAUGGGAGCAGCUUUGCGUAAAGCGAGGGGUGCCUGUCCCUGUUUUCUCUUCCCGCUUUUGAAGAGAAGCUGCCGAGUGAGCGUACGCUGCGGUGAAGUUCUACAAGAUGCAGCCCUCGGGAACCGGUUGCUGUGGGGUUGCUCGUGCGGCCAGCUUUUGGUGUCGGUUGUUCCGGCGCUCCGUCGCGGUGUAGAGCCGGCCCCGUACGUAGCGGUGAGGCGUACCGCAGUUCGGUUUGAUUCUCGGAUAGGCCUCGGCUCUGACUGUGCACUCGAACGCCAAAACCUACAGCGGAAGCUGCGGUGGCUUUAGCGUGCAAGGGGCGCGAGCGCCGUGAAGCCGCCCGUGUGGCCGAGCGUCCCGAUCGCGGCGCUGAGCGUUAGACGGACUUGAGCCGCGUGCCGGAAUCGUUUUGUUUUGGAGAGGGCGGGAUAAACCUGGAGCACAACUUGGGAGGGCGGUACGUCGUGGGCAGGUUUUAGUAUUGCCUGUGGAGUGCCGCUAGAAGCGUUCGUAGUUCUUGCUUGUCUCUGUUACAAGAUGAGCCGUGUCGUCCUGCGUGACGCGUAACGGGGAGGACGGCGCGGUAGC